Molecule: transfer RNA, 73 nt
Filed under: Camelus bactrianus (Bactrian camel)
Lineage: Eukaryota; Metazoa; Chordata; Mammalia; Artiodactyla; Camelidae
Also listed under: 2 other names
Rfam family: tRNA
About the family: Transfer RNA (tRNA) molecules are approximately 80 nucleotides in length. Their secondary structure includes four short double-helical elements and three loops (D, anti-codon, and T loops). Further hydrogen bonds mediate the characteristic L-shaped molecular structure. tRNAs have two regions of fundamental functional importance: the anti-codon, which is responsible for specific mRNA codon recognition, and the 3' end, to which the tRNAs corresponding amino acid is attached (by aminoacyl-tRNA synthetases). tRNAs cope with the degeneracy of the genetic code in two manners: having more than one tRNA (with a specific anti-codon) for a particular amino acid; and 'wobble' base-pairing, i.e. permitting non-standard base-pairing at the 3rd anti-codon position.
Source: Rfam by way of RNAcentral
GGAGGGUCCAGCUCAGAGGUAGAGCACGUGCUUAGCAUGCACGAGGUCCUGGCUUCAAUCCCCAGAACCUCCG